AAUGACUCUCGGCAACGGAUAUCUCGGCUCAUGCAUCGAUGAAGAACGUAGCAAAAUGCGAUACUUGGUGUGAAUUGCAGAAUCCCGUGAACCAUCGAGUUUUUGAACGCAAGUUGCGCCCAAAGCCUUUUGGUUGAGGGCACGUCUGCUUGGGCGUCACAAAU
RNAcentral lists this ribosomal RNA (164 nucleotides) under Jacobaea racemulifera. Its description in RNAcentral is "Senecio racemulifer 5.8S ribosomal RNA". It matches the Rfam family "5.8S ribosomal RNA". From Rfam's summary of the family: 5.8S ribosomal RNA (5.8S rRNA) is a component of the large subunit of the eukaryotic ribosome. Lineage: Eukaryota; Viridiplantae; Streptophyta; Magnoliopsida; Asterales; Asteraceae. The record is from RNAcentral.